GACGAACGCUGGCGGCGUGCUUAACACAUGCAAGUCGAACGGAAAGGCCCUGCUUUUGUGGGGUGCUCGAGUGGCGAACGGGUGAAUAACACGUGAGUAACCUGCCCUUGACUUUGGGAUAACUUCAGGAAACUGGGGCUAAUACCGGAUAGGAGCUCCUGCUGCAUGGUGGGGGUUGGAAAGUUUCGGCGGUUGGGGAUGGACUCGCGGCUUAUCAGCUUGUUGGUGGGGUAGGGGCUUACCAAGGCUUUGACGGGUAGCCGGCCUGAGGGGGUGACCGGCCACAUUGGGACGGAGAUACGGCCCAGCCUCCUACGGGAGGAAGCAGUGGGGAAUAUUGCACAAGGGGCGGAAGCCUGAGGCAGCAACGCCGCGUGCGGGAUGACGGCCUUCGGGUUGUAAACCGCUUUCGCCUGUGACGAAGCGUGAGUGACGGUAAUGGGUAAAGAAGCACCGGCUAACUACGUG
Molecule: ribosomal RNA, 468 nt
Filed under: uncultured bacterium
Lineage: Bacteria
Description: partial 16S ribosomal RNA
Rfam family: Bacterial small subunit ribosomal RNA
Source: RNAcentral